Molecule: transfer RNA, 73 nt
Filed under: Felis catus (domestic cat)
Lineage: Eukaryota; Metazoa; Chordata; Mammalia; Carnivora; Felidae
Also listed under: 2 other names
Rfam family: tRNA
About the family: Transfer RNA (tRNA) molecules are approximately 80 nucleotides in length. Their secondary structure includes four short double-helical elements and three loops (D, anti-codon, and T loops). Further hydrogen bonds mediate the characteristic L-shaped molecular structure. tRNAs have two regions of fundamental functional importance: the anti-codon, which is responsible for specific mRNA codon recognition, and the 3' end, to which the tRNAs corresponding amino acid is attached (by aminoacyl-tRNA synthetases). tRNAs cope with the degeneracy of the genetic code in two manners: having more than one tRNA (with a specific anti-codon) for a particular amino acid; and 'wobble' base-pairing, i.e. permitting non-standard base-pairing at the 3rd anti-codon position.
Source: Rfam by way of RNAcentral
GCCUGGCUGGCUCAGUUGGUAGAGCAUGCGACUCCUGAUCUCAGGGUCAUGAGUUCGCACCCCCUGUGGGGUG